ACGAACGCUGGCGGCGUGCUUAACACAUGCAAGUCGAACGGAAAGGCCCUGCUUUUGUGGGGUGCUCGAGUGGCGAACGGGGGAGUAACACGUGAGUAACCUGCCCUUGACUUUGGGAUAACUUCAGGAAACUGGGGCUAAUACCGGAUAGGAGCUCCUGCUGCAUGGUGGGGGUUGGAAAGUUUCGGCGGUUGGGGAUGGACUCGCGGCUUAUCAGCUUGUUGGUGGGGUAGUGGCUUACCAAGGCUUUGACGGGUAGCCGGCCUGAGAGGGUGACCGGCCACAUUGGGACUGGGAUACGGCCCAGACUCCUACGGGAGGCAGCAGUGGGGAAUAUUGCACAAUGGGCGGAAGCCUGAUGCAGCAACGCCGCGUGCGGGAUGACGGCCUUCGGGUUGUAAACCGCUUUCGCCUGUGACGAAGCGUGAGUGACGGUAAUGGGUAAAGAAGCACCGGCUAACUACGUG
Molecule: ribosomal RNA, 467 nt
Filed under: uncultured bacterium
Lineage: Bacteria
Description: partial 16S ribosomal RNA
Rfam family: Bacterial small subunit ribosomal RNA
Source: RNAcentral